This 328-nucleotide unclassified non-coding RNA is filed under the name soil metagenome. Its description in RNAcentral is "partial contains 5.8S ribosomal RNA, internal transcribed spacer 2, and large subunit ribosomal RNA". The stretch from base 1 to 120 matches the Rfam family "5.8S ribosomal RNA", at positions 35 to 154 of the family's 154-position model. The record is from RNAcentral.
GAUGAAGAACGUAGCGAAAUGCGAUAAGUAAUGUGAAUUGCAGAAUUCAGUGAAUCAUCGAAUCUUUGAACGCACAUUGCGCCCCUUGGUAUUCCGAGGGGCAUGCCUGUUCGAGCGUCAUUAUAACCCCUCAAGCUCAGCUUGGUGUUGGGGCCUGCCGCACGGGCAGCCCUUAAAAACAGUGGCGGUGCCAUCUGGCUCUAAGCGUAGUAAUUCUUCUCGCUAUAGAGUUCCGGUGGAUGCUUGCCAUUAACCCCCAAUUUUCUAUGGUUGACCUCGGAUCAGGUAGGGAUACCCGCUGAACUUAAGCAUAUCAAUAAGCGGAGGA